GAACGCGAAGAACCUUACCAGGUCUUGACAUCCAACGAAUCUGUCUGAAAGGACGGAGUGCCUUCGGGAGCGUUGAGACAGGUGGUGCAUGGUUGUCGUCAGCUCGUGUCGUGAGAUGUUGGGUUAAGUCCCGCAACGAGCGCAACCCUUGCUAUUAGUUGCUAACAGGUUAAGCUGAGCACUCUAAUGGGACUGCCGGUGACAAGCCGGAGGAAGGUGGGGAUGACGUCAAAUCAUCAUGCCCUUUAUGACCUGGGCUACACACGUGCUACAAUGGAUGGUACAGAGAGCAGCAAUGCCGCGAGGUGGAGCGAAUCUCAAAAAGCCAUUCUCAGUUCGGAUUGUAGUCUGCAACUCGACUACAUGAAGUCGGAAUCGCUAGUUAAUCGCGAAUCAGCAUGUCGCGGUGAAUGCGUUCCCGGGUCUUGUACCACCG
Molecule: ribosomal RNA, 436 nt
Filed under: uncultured bacterium
Lineage: Bacteria
Description: bacterial SSU rRNA
Rfam family: Bacterial small subunit ribosomal RNA
Source: RNAcentral